CAAUAGCGUAUAUUAAAGUUGUUGCAGUUAAAAAGCUCGUAGUUGGAUUUCUGAUCGAGACAUCAGGUCGGGUCCGAGAGGAUCAUGUACUUUGAUUUUGUUUUGAUCAUCCUUGGGGAGAGCAUUUCUGGCAUUCAGUUGUCGGGAUUGGGGUCCUCAUCGUUUACUGUGAAAAAAUUAGAGUGUUCAAAGCAGGCCUCGGCCUCUGAAUACAUUAGCAUGGAAUAAUAAGAUAGGACUUUGGUGGUCUAUUUUGUUGGUUUGCACGCCAAAGUAAUGAUUAAUAGGGAUAGUUGGGGGUAUUCGUAUUCAAUUGUCAGAGGUGAAAUUCUUGGAUUUAUGGAAGACGAACUACUGCGAAAGCAUUUACCAAGGAUGUUUUCAUUAA
RNAcentral lists this ribosomal RNA (388 nucleotides) under uncultured eukaryote. RNAcentral's name for it is "partial 18S ribosomal RNA". It matches the Rfam family "Eukaryotic small subunit ribosomal RNA", at positions 592 to 976 of the family's 1831-position model. The record is from RNAcentral.